Molecule: long non-coding RNA, 261 nt
Filed under: Lathyrus oleraceus (garden pea)
Lineage: Eukaryota; Viridiplantae; Streptophyta; Magnoliopsida; Fabales; Fabaceae
Description: Pisum sativum (pea) long non-coding RNA (PSAT_LNC018787)
Source: RNAcentral
GGAUGAUCGGGAACAACUCGACGUUUAUCGAAACCAACGGAGAGGAGUACCAACUUCACUAGGGAAGGGAGGACGACGUUACGAACAUCGAAAGAUGAUGUUUACCGACAUCAAAAGAAGACCAGACAUUACGCAUGACUGGGAAAGCACCGAAAGAUGGUGUUUACCGACACCAAGGAAGCAACACACGCGGGUGCUGACAGGAAGGAUGACCAAGGAUACCGGGUUGUAGGCAUGAAACAGGUGACCGACCAAAAUGUG